Molecule: small nucleolar RNA, 99 nt
Organism: Scleropages formosus (Asian bonytongue)
Lineage: Eukaryota; Metazoa; Chordata; Actinopteri; Osteoglossiformes; Osteoglossidae
Gene: SNORD16
Rfam family: Small nucleolar RNA SNORD16
About the family: U16 is a member of the C/D class of snoRNA which contain the C (UGAUGA) and D (CUGA) box motifs.
Source: Ensembl
UGCUGUGAUGGUGUAAUUUGCGUCUUAUCCUGUGCACAGUGACAGUUUGCCUGCUGUCAUAUACUGGUACAGAGAACUGGCGAAAAAAUAAUCUGAGCA